GUUAUCCGGAAUUAUUGGGCGUAAAGCGCGCGCAGGUGGUUUCUUAAGUCUGAUGUGAAAGCCCACGGCUCAACCGUGGAGGGUCAUUGGAAACUGGGAGACUUGAGUGCAGAAGAGGAAAAGUGGAAUUCCAUGUGUAGCGGUGAAAAUGCGUAGAGAUAUGGAGGAACACCAGUGGCG
RNAcentral lists this ribosomal RNA (180 nucleotides) under Bacillus cereus. RNAcentral describes it as "partial 16S ribosomal RNA". It matches the Rfam family "Bacterial small subunit ribosomal RNA", at positions 540 to 717 of the family's 1533-position model. Lineage: Bacteria; Bacillati; Bacillota; Bacilli; Caryophanales; Bacillaceae. The record is from RNAcentral.